Molecule: ribosomal RNA, 1172 nt
Filed under: Escherichia coli
Lineage: Bacteria; Pseudomonadati; Pseudomonadota; Gammaproteobacteria; Enterobacterales; Enterobacteriaceae
Description: partial 23S ribosomal RNA
Rfam family: Bacterial large subunit ribosomal RNA
Source: RNAcentral
GGGUUGUGAGGUUAAGCGACUAAGCGUACACGGUGGAUGCCCUGGCAGUCAGAGGCGAUGAAGGACGUGCUAAUCUGCGAUAAGCGUCGGUAAGGUGAUAUGAACCGUUAUAACCGGCGAUUUCCGAAUGGGGAAACCCAGUGUGAUUCGUCACACUAUCAUUAACUGAAUCCAUAGGUUAAUGAGGCGAACCGGGGGAACUGAAACAUCUAAGUACCCCGAGGAAAAGAAAUCAACCGAGAUUCCCCCAGUAGCGGCGAGCGAACGGGGAGCAGCCCAGAGCCUGAAUCAGUGUGUGUGUUAGUGGAAGCGUCUGGAAAGGCGCGCGAUACAGGGUGACAGCCCCGUACACAAAAAUGCACAUACUGUGAGCUCGAUGAGUAGGGCGGGACACGUGGUAUCCUGUCUGAAUAUGGGGGGACCAUCCUCCAAGGCUAAAUACUCCUGACUGACCGAUAGUGAACCAGUACCGUGAGGGAAAGGCGAAAAGAACCCCGGCGAGGGGAGUGAAAAAGAACCUGAAACCGUGUACGUACAAGCAGUGGGAGCACGCUUAGGCGUGUGACUGCGUACCUUUUGUAUAAUGGGUCAGCGACUUAUAUUCUGUAGCAAGGUUAACCGAAUAGGGGAGCCGAAGGGAAACCGAGUCUUAACUGGGCGUUAAGUUGCAGGGUAUAGACCCGAAACCCGGUGAUCUAGCCAUGGGCAGGUUGAAGGUUGGGUAACACUAACUGGAGGACCGAACCGACUAAUGUUGAAAAAUUAGCGGAUGACUUGUGGCUGGGGGUGAAAGGCCAAUCAAACCGGGAGAUAGCUGGUUCUCCCCGAAAGCUAUUUAGGUAGCGCCUCGUGAAUUCAUCUCCGGGGGUAGAGCACUGUUUCGGCAAGGGGGUCAUCCCGACUUACCAACCCGAUGCAAACUGCGAAUACCGGAGAAUGUUAUCACGGGAGACACACGGCGGGUGCUAACGUCCGUCGUGAAGAGGGAAACAACCCAGACCGCCAGCUAAGGUCCCAAAGUCAUGGUUAAGUGGGAAACGAUGUGGGAAGGCCCAGACAGCCAGGAUGUUGGCUUAGAAGCAGCCAUCAUUUAAAGAAAGCGUAAUAGCUCACUGGUCGAGUCGGCCUGCGCGGAAGAUGUAACGGGGCUAAACCAUGCACCGAAGCUGCGG